RNAcentral lists this ribosomal RNA (468 nucleotides) under uncultured bacterium. RNAcentral describes it as "partial 16S ribosomal RNA". It matches the Rfam family "Bacterial small subunit ribosomal RNA", at positions 28 to 507 of the family's 1533-position model. The record is from RNAcentral.
GACGAACGCUGGCGGCGGGCUUAACACAUGCAAGUCGAACGGAAAGGCCCUGCUUUUGUGGGGUGCUCGAGUGGCGAACGGGUGAGUAACACGUGAGUAACCUGCCCUUGACUUUGGGAUAACUUCAGGAAACUGGGGCUAAUACCGGAUAGGAGCUCCGGCUGCAUGGGGGGGGUUGGAAAGGUUCGGCGGUUGGGGAUGGACUCGCGGCUUAUCAGCUUGUUGGUGGGGUAGUGGCUUACCAAGGCUUUGACGGGUAGCCGGCCUGAGAGGGUGACCGGCCACAUUGGGACUGAGCUACGGCCCAGACUCCUACGGGAGGCAGCAGUGGGGAAUAUUGCACAAUGGGCGGAAGCCUGAUGCAGCAACGCCGCGUGCGGGAUGACGGCCUUCGGGUUGUAAACCGCUUUCGCCUGUGACGAAGCGUGAGUGACGGUAAUGGGUAAAGAAGCACCGGCUAACUACGUG